Molecule: ribosomal RNA, 483 nt
Filed under: uncultured Acidobacteriota bacterium
Lineage: Bacteria; Pseudomonadati; Acidobacteriota
Description: SSU rRNA
Rfam family: Bacterial small subunit ribosomal RNA
Source: RNAcentral
CUCAUUGGGAUGUAAACUCCUUUCGACCAAGAGGAUAAUGACGGUAUUGGUGGAAGAAGCACCGGCUAACUCUGUGCCAGCAGCCGCGGUAAUACAGAGGGUGCGAGCGUUGUUCGGAAUUAUUGGGCGUAAAGGGUUCGUAGGCGGUGUAGCAAGUCGGGAGUGAAAUCUCUGGGCUCAACCCAGAGACUGCUUCCGAAACUGCUGUGCUUGAGUGUGGGAGAGGCGCGUGGAAUUGCAGGUGUAGCGGUGAAAUGCGUAGAUAUCUGCAGGAACACCCGUGGCGAAAGCGGCGCGCUGGACCACUACUGACGCUGAGGAACGAAAGCUAGGGGAGCAAACAGGAUUAGAUACCCUGGUAGUCCUAGCCCUAAACGAUCAGGACUUGGGGUGCCGCACGUUCGUGCGUCGUCCCGGAGCUAACGCGUUAAGUCCUGCACCUGGGGAGUACGGUCGCAAGACUGAAACUCAAAGGAAUUGACG